Molecule: ribosomal RNA, 365 nt
Filed under: uncultured bacterium
Lineage: Bacteria
Description: partial 16S ribosomal RNA
Rfam family: Bacterial small subunit ribosomal RNA
Source: RNAcentral
CCUACGGGUGACAGCAGUGAGGAAUAUUGGUCAAUGGGCGCGAGCCUGAACCAGCCAAGUAGCGUGAAGGAUGACUGCCCUACGGGGUGUAAACUUCUUUUAUAAAGGAAUAAAGUGAGGCACGUGUGCCGUUUUGUAUGUACUUUAUGAAUAAGGAUCGGCUAACGCCGUGCCAGCAGCCGCGGUAAUACGGAGGAUCCGAGCGUUAUCCGGAUUUAUUUGGUUUAAAGGGAGCGUAGAGGGGUUGUUAAGUCAGUUGUGAAAGUUUGCGGCUCAACCGUCAAAUUGCCAUUGAUACUGGCAGUCUUGAGUCCAUUUGCGGUAGUCGGACUUCGUGUUGUAGCGGUGACAUUCUUCGAUAUCAC